This 1026-nucleotide ribosomal RNA is filed under the name Triticum aestivum (bread wheat). RNAcentral describes it as "partial small subunit ribosomal RNA". The record is from RNAcentral. Lineage: Eukaryota; Viridiplantae; Streptophyta; Magnoliopsida; Poales; Poaceae.
AUGUGCGCGUGGACGGCCAGCCACACUGGCGCCUGUCUCAACUCGCGCGCAUCGCGUCGCGGCUCCGGCCGCGCAUCCGCAGGCCUCGCGUCGCCAAGAUCUGGCUCGAGCGCCCUUCUCCUCCGCGGCGUCAUCCUACCGCCGCCCGCACCCCGACUCUUUAGCAACGGCCCCGAGCGGCCAUGUCUUCCUGCGCCCUCGCGAACGGGGGGAGGAGCCCGAGAUCCCCUGCUCCUUGUCGCCCACCCGGCUGCAGCGCCUGGCCUGCCCGUGGCCGACCUGCCGCGUCCCCGCCUCCACCGGGUUCCCGAGCCGCCGGCCUCCGCCACGCUCCGGCUGCUUUCGGCCUCCCCCUCCUCUGCGCACCCGGCUAGGGCCGGCUCCGAGUAUCCCACGACGGCUGCAGCCUUGCCUCCCCGGCCGGCUCCUGCAUCUCCUCUGCCUGUUCCCGCCGUCGGGUUCGCCGCCCGGCUCCUCCUCAGUUUGGCUUCGCCCGCCCGCCUACCGGCGCGUCCGCGCCCGCGCCGACCCACCGUGCUGGGUGCUCCCCCUCUCGCACGUUGGCCCCGCUGUUCGCCGCCUCUGGCUCGCCGCUGGCUGGGUCCGCCUUCGCGCGAACUGGCCGGCUGCCCCGCUCCCUCGUUGCGUGGCUGCCGCGUCCCAUCACCUGGCCGCCUCCGGCUCCCGCACGCCUGGCCGCCUCCGUGGUCCGACCUCCCGCACAACCCGGCCGCCGGCUCCCACGCGAACCCAGCUGCCUGCCAUCCCAUUCGCUCCACCAACCGCACGCUCGCCCCGCGACCGUGCGUCCGUGCCCCCACGUUGGUUCCGCCGGCGUCCCGGCGUCCCGCAUGCCGGCUGGCCGAUUCCCGCUCGACCCAGCUGUUGCUGGACCUCGAGCGCCGCAGCCGAGCGGCCUACUGGGCAGGCCAACUCGUGCCGCGCCGGCUGCCGCCCCGGCCGCCUGCUCCGCCGGUCGCCCGCGCCGGCUCCCACAAUGUCGUCUGCUGUGGCCGGCUGCCCUAG